This 406-nucleotide ribosomal RNA is filed under the name uncultured bacterium. RNAcentral's name for it is "partial 16S ribosomal RNA". It matches the Rfam family "Bacterial small subunit ribosomal RNA", at positions 30 to 526 of the family's 1533-position model. The record is from RNAcentral.
AUUGAACGCUGGCGGCAGGCCUAACACAUGCAAGUCGAACGAGUGGCGGACGGGUGAGUAAUGUCUGGGAAACUGCCCGAUGGAGGGGGAUAACUACUGGAAACGGUAGUUAAUACCGCAUACCAUCGGAUGUGCCUAGAUGGGAUUAGCUAGUAGGUGGGGUAACGGCUCACCGAGGCGACGAUCCCUAGCUGGUCUGAGAGGAUGACCCGCCACACUGGAACUGAGAAACGGUCCGGACUCCUACGGGAGGCAGCAGUGGGGAAUAUUGCACAAUGGGCGCAAGCCUGAUACGGCCAUGCCGCGUGUAUGAAGAAGGCCUUCGAGUUGUAAAGUACUUUCAGCGGGGAGGCGUUACCCGCAGAAGAAGCACCGGCUAACUCCGUGCCAGCAGCCGCGGUAAUUC